AGUUAAUGAACUUGUUAUAAGUAUAUGUUUUGAAAACAUAAUAAAGAUGUUAAACCCUCUAUUAACUU
RNAcentral lists this transfer RNA (68 nucleotides) under Dyscolus lucifuga. Its description in RNAcentral is "tRNA-Ser". The record is from RNAcentral. Lineage: Eukaryota; Metazoa; Arthropoda; Insecta; Coleoptera; Carabidae.